UGCAGGAGUGUCCUCAGCAUUAGACCAGGG
This 30-nucleotide non-coding RNA is filed under the name Homo sapiens (human). The record is from RNAcentral. Lineage: Eukaryota; Metazoa; Chordata; Mammalia; Primates; Hominidae.